This 253-nucleotide ribosomal RNA is filed under the name uncultured bacterium. Its description in RNAcentral is "partial 16S ribosomal RNA". It matches the Rfam family "Bacterial small subunit ribosomal RNA", at positions 524 to 776 of the family's 1533-position model. The record is from RNAcentral.
UACGGGGGGGGCAAGCGUUGUUCGGAAUUACUGGGCGUAAAGGGCUCGUAGGCGGCCAACUAAGUCCGACGUGAAAUCCCCAGGCUUAACCUGGGAACUGCGUCGGAUACUGGAUGGCUUGAAUCCGGGAGAGGGAUGCGGAAUUCCAGGUGUAGCGGUGAAAUGUGUAGAUAUCUGGAGGAACACCGGUGGCGAAGGCGGCAUCCUGGACCGGCAUUGACGCUGAGGAGCGAAAGCCAGGGGAGCAAACGGG